CAGGCAUGCUGGGCUCCGCAGCGGCGCCCGGGUUACGCACCCGCCACCGUGUCCACACCGGAGCUUAU
Molecule: regulatory RNA element, 68 nt
Organism: Rhizobium tibeticum
Lineage: Bacteria; Pseudomonadati; Pseudomonadota; Alphaproteobacteria; Hyphomicrobiales; Rhizobiaceae
Rfam family: ybhL leader
About the family: This family is a putative regulatory RNA structure that is found upstream of an uncharacterized membrane protein in alpha-proteobacteria.
Source: Rfam